Molecule: RNA transcript, 3571 nt
Organism: Sorghum bicolor (sorghum)
Lineage: Eukaryota; Viridiplantae; Streptophyta; Magnoliopsida; Poales; Poaceae
Exons: 9
Source: RefSeq, a predicted model, not a curated record
CCUCCAAAAGACGAGAAGCCCUCCUCACCUCAGCGGAAAAACUUCCUACUCCUAGGGUUUCCUUCCUCCCUUUAUAUACCAUCCCUAUGAAAGAAAGAAACGUGAAAAAUCCCUUCACCUCCUUCCCUUCCGCAUCGGCCGGGAUCUCGACCUCCGCCGCCGCCGCCGCCGCAGCAACAUCUUCGGAACCAGCACUAAUCCAGGAAAACGAAAGGCGAGGAUGGCGGAGCCGCGUAAGGAAGAGGGUCGGGAGCAGCACCUUUACCUUUUGUUUGAUGACUGGGACUCUGGAUACAGCAUCCGCAAGGUGAGCUUGUCGCGCAGAUCAGACAAACGUGCUAAGGAGCCCUUAUCGUCCGGCUCAGACAAACAAGGCGUUGAGCCCCUGCCUCAAGUUUUCAUGCACAUCCAGGCGCGACGUGGGUUACCCCACUUGUUCACUUCUGCCUUUGACGCUAAGAUCAUGGUGAUGCAUCCCUUCAAGAUUGAUGAAACCAAGGGCAUCCCAAUGAUCGACGUCCAGAAACAGGCCUUAACCUUUGGACCUCUGCCCCGCAGCGCUAAUUUCCUUCCAAUCUACCUCCCCGUCGGCUGCAAUAGGCUAUUCAUUCUGGACAUUGGCAGUUUUGAUUGCUACCUCUGGGCGCCGGAACAUAGUGAAGAACCGUGGGAGUGGCAGAUCCUCCCUUAUCCGCCAUUCCGUAGGGCCGAUGUCUCCUCCUAUGGCGUGCACCCCGAUGGAUACAUCCUCGUCAGUACUAUUGGUGACGCACGCACCUUCAUCUUGGACACCACCAAGGAGGAUUAUGUGUGGAAACCAUACAGUAGUUCGGUGUUGCCCUUCUCCGGCCGUGGCCACUAUGACACCUCCCUGGGGGGCUUUGUCGGUCUCUCCAGAGAUGGGUACCUCUGCUGCCGCACCAUGGCUGCCAGCACCACCGGGACUAACCCUCACGACAAGCGCACCAAUGUCAAGGUGUACACUGAGAGGCAGCAUGUAAGUGCCACCCUUGUGCACAUACACCCGCGCAAAUUCUGCCUUGUGGAGUGUGUCUCUGUUGACAGCAGAAGGACUGGUCAGGACCUCAGGGAGUCAUGGGCUCGUGAGUUCAAGAUGCCGCUGGGGUCAAGGCCUUGGUUUUGUGUGGGCGGCGGGCCACAAGGCGGCCGCUGUAUGUAUCAUAUCAAGACCUUCACCCUCACUUAUGACUCUGAAGCAGACUGUUUGAAGCUUAAAAACUGCAAGGGUCAGGGUUGUUGCUACAGCCUGCCUCAUGAAGCAAGGAUUGGUUCCGUCUGUAUGGAUCCCGUGGCAUUUUGGCUGUGAAAUGCUAAAGUCAUGAGAAGAGCUGCUAUGUUUUCAUUCAGGUCGCAUCCGUGUCUCGCCAAGCAGCCUGGUUAAAUUUUCUAAUCGCUUUCCUGUUGGUAAUUGAAGGAGUUAGCAUUCUAUCAAUGAUCGACUUGCAUGGAAUGAUGAGAAACAAAAUGAACUGACAAUAAAAAUUUCCAAGUAGAACGGGCACUCUUCUCUACAGUGCUUGCUUGUUAAGGGAUGGAAAGGUGAGGCCAGCUGGAGCUUUCCUUGUGGAAAGUGGAAUAAAGAUGAGGAAGAUCACACAUCUGCCAUUAGAGAAGUAAACUUCUGCUUGUAUCAUGCUUAGUUUAUUUUCCUUUCUGAGUGCACGCUGUAAUUUCUUUGAAGCAUAUUAUACUUGCAGCAAUGAAAUAUAUAUUCUAGAUUGGCAAAAUAGUUCUUUAGAGGAGUUCUGGAACUCCUGAUAUGAAUUUGUUUUUUAGCGGUGAAAAUAUGUGGUCAGGUGAUUUCAGCUAAGUUGAGAGGGUGUUUACCCCUACUGGUUUUACCUGAUAAGAAUGACUUCAGAUAAACAAUCAAUAGUUUACAAACCUGUAGGUUUGGAGGCCAUAGUAUAAUCACAAGUCUUAACUUUGGGCACACGACCACAUAAAAAAAGAAUAAGUUCUGUCUUAACUUUGGGCAGCGUUUCUGACAAAUGACUUUCUACUAUCUGUGUUCUUUCAGUAAAAAAUCUGUUACAUUCAAGAUUUUGUUUCCCCAAAUCUAUGUCAAAAGAGAGCUCUUGAGCUGAUUUUGUUAGUGCUCAUGGAUUUGCAAGCCCCAAUAUUUGUUUUUUAAUAUCAAUAGCAGUUUACUAUUGGUUUCUUGGAAUUUCUUUUCCACAUUGCUAUAUGUGAUAUUGAGAGAUCCAAGGCGCCUCUAUGUACCUGGUAGGCUUUACCACAUUGUUAAAAGGAAACCUUUCAGGAAUGAAUAUACAACAUGUACGUAAUGCUUGCUAUUUGGCAUGAAUCUUAAUGUAUCUCACUAUUUUCUUUAUUUUUAAAAUAUAUUAUGUUUUUUAUUUUACCGUAGCGUUAGCACAGGCAAUAUACUAAAUUAGAUGGCUGCAGCAGGCUUUGGUUUUGUUCAGUAUUAGCUCUUCAAGCCUUUCAACACUUUGGAUGUCAGGUCUUUGUUCUCUUACCAAAGUGGAACUAAUAAGUAUGAUGUCAGUCUUGGUGGCCACAUUAUUUUUGUUGGCACCAUAGUUGCAUUGCUCCGAACUCACAAAAGUACUGGCCUAAAUGAGGGUAAUUUUGCUGUUGUGAUGCUAUUCUGCAGUUGUUUCCACACUGACCUUUAGCUGCAAUGCGACACUGCAGGUAACGACAGUGUAUAGGUGUCAAGUGUAAGUGUUGACUAACAAGGAAGAAGAAGGAAGCAACCUUGAGGCUUCAACCUUGAAGCAACCUUUAAACUAUUUGUGUUGCAAUUUGACUUCCAUUUUGGGGUCUCCUACAUGGAUAUUUGUUUUACAUUUUCAAAUGCCCUCACACUCACCCACCCAAAAAAGGUUACGAUCUGAUUUUUUCAGUUGAUUUUGAACAGGUAGCAAAACCUGAGCUGGCACUAAUGACAUAUUCGUAUUCUUUGAUGUUGAGCCUGUUGAGUGUGCUUCUAUUGUACAGGUGCAUCGAGCAAAGCUUAAAUUAUCAAAGACAGACGUUGCCGGCAGGAAAUAUGAAAUCAAGGACUUCAAACAUGAGGACAAUGGCGCUGCAACAAAUUUUCAAAUGUAUAUGUACUUCAGUAUAUGGCGCCUGGAACCAAAUCUAAAAUAUACAAGCUACUGAACCACUAACUACGUGAAAGCAAGAUAAUGUAGCCGGAUGGAAGUCAAACUCAGAUUGACUGUAAUUCCUACCAGUAAUUCCUAGAAGACAUGGAGAUAAAGCAGAUGAUCAAAGUGGAAACCCAUAAUGUAUUCAUGUUAGGGGUAUAGAUGAAUGGAUCUGUGUUGAAUGCACCUUGGUUGCGAAGCACCAAGAGAUGGGUGCUAGCUAACAAUCCUAUAUAUGCUCGGAUGGAUUUUUCUGUCUUUUUUUCCUUGGUAAAUUUGGAAUUUAAACUGAUGUAAAUACUAAUUUAUCUCACUUCCAUUACCAGAGAUUAUGUGAAUUAUUUAUUUUGUAAGGUAAGACUAAUAUUUGAAAGCAACCAAACUAUCUGCUACUAUGUGCAAUUGCAAGAAGCAAAUCAUAUUUACACAUA